UGCAGUCGAACGGUAGCAGGAAGUGCUUGCACUUCGCUGACGAGUGGCGGACGGGUGAGUAAUGCUUGGGAACUUGCCUUUAGGCGGGGGAUAACAGUUGGAAACGACUGCUAAUACCGCAUAAUGUCUACGGACCAAAGGGGGCUUCGGCUCCCGCCUUGAGAGAGGCCCAAGUGAGAUUAGCUAGUUGGUGGGGUAAAGGCCUACCAAGGCAACGAUCUCUAGCUGUUCUGAGAGGAAGAUCAGCCACACUGGGACUGAGACACGGCCCAGACUCCUACGGGAGGCAGCAGUGGGGAAUAUUGCACAAUGGGGGAAACCCUGAUGCAGCCAUGCCGCGUGUGUGAAGAAGGCCUUCGGGUUGUAAAGCACUUUCAGUUGUGAGGAAAGGUUGGUAGUUAAUACCUGCCAGCUGUGACGUUAACAACAGAAGAAGCACCGGCUAACUCCGUGCCAGCAGCCGCGGUAAUACGGAGGGUGCGAGCGUUAAUCGGAAUUACUGGGCGUAAAGCGCACGCAGGCGGCUUGUUAAGCUAGAGGUGAAAGCCCCGCGCUCAACGUGGGAACUGCCUUUAGAACUGGCAGGCUAGAGUCUUGGAGAGGGGAGUGGAAUUCCAGGUGUAGCGGUGAAAUGCGUAGAUAUCUGGAGGAACAUCAGUGGCGAAGGCGGCUCCCUGGCCAAAGACUGACGCUCAUGUGCGAAAGUGUGGGUAGCGAACAGGAUUAGAUACCCUGGUAGUCCACACCGUAAACGCUGUCUACUAGCUGUUUGUGUAUUUAAUACGUGAGUA
This 791-nucleotide ribosomal RNA is filed under the name uncultured Alteromonas sp. RNAcentral describes it as "bacterial SSU rRNA". It matches the Rfam family "Bacterial small subunit ribosomal RNA", at positions 56 to 845 of the family's 1533-position model. The record is from RNAcentral. Lineage: Bacteria; Pseudomonadati; Pseudomonadota; Gammaproteobacteria; Alteromonadales; Alteromonadaceae.